ACAAUGGCGCAAGCCUGAUGCAGCCAUGCGCGUGUAUGAAGAAGGCUACGGGUUGUAAAGUACUUUCAGCAGUGAGGAAGGUGGUAGUGUUAAUAGCACUAUCAUUUGACGUUAGCUGCAGAAGAAGCACCGGCUAACUCCGUGCCAGCAGCCGCGGUAAUACGGAGGGUGCGAGCGUUAAUCGGAAUUACUGGGCGUAAAGCGCAUGCAGGUGGUUUGUUAAGUCAGAUGUGAAAGCCCGGGGCUCAACCUCGGAAUUGCAUUUGAAACUGGCAGACUAGAGUACUGUAGAGGGGGUAGAAUUUCAGGUGUAGCGGUGAAAUGCGUAGAGAUCUGAAGGAAUACCAGUGGCGAAGGCGGCCCCCUGGACAAAGACUGACGCUCAGAUGCGAAAGCGUGGGGAGCAAACAGGAUUAGAUACCCUGGUAG
This 429-nucleotide ribosomal RNA is filed under the name uncultured bacterium. RNAcentral describes it as "bacterial SSU rRNA". It matches the Rfam family "Bacterial small subunit ribosomal RNA", at positions 368 to 793 of the family's 1533-position model. The record is from RNAcentral.